CCUACGGGAGGCAGCAGUGAGGAAUAUUGGUCAAUGGACGAGAGUCUGAACCAGCCAAGUAGCGUGAAGGAUGACUGCCCUAUGGGUUGUAAACUUCUUUUAUAUGGGAAUAAAACGUUCCACGUGUGGGAGUUUGUAUGUACCAUAUGAAUAAGGAUCGGCUAACUCCGUGCCAGAAGCCGCGGUAAUACGGAGGAUCCGAGCGUUAACCGGAAUUAUUGGGUUUAAAGGGAGCGUAGGUGGAUUGUUAAGUCAGUUGUGAAAUGUUGCGGCUCAACCGUAAAAUUGCAGUUGAAACUGGCAGUCUUGAGUGCAGGAGAGGUGAGCGGAAUUCGUGGUGUAGCGGUGAAAUGCUUAGAUAUCACGAGGAACAUCGAUUGCGAAGGCAGUUCACUGGACUGCAACUGACGCUGAGGCUCGAAAGUGUGGGUAGCAAACAGGAUUAGAUACCCGUGUAGUC
This 460-nucleotide ribosomal RNA is filed under the name uncultured bacterium. Its description in RNAcentral is "partial 16S ribosomal RNA". It matches the Rfam family "Bacterial small subunit ribosomal RNA", at positions 338 to 795 of the family's 1533-position model. The record is from RNAcentral.